This 462-nucleotide unclassified non-coding RNA is filed under the name Hevea brasiliensis (rubber tree). Lineage: Eukaryota; Viridiplantae; Streptophyta; Magnoliopsida; Malpighiales; Euphorbiaceae. The record is from RNAcentral.
GAUACUACCCAGGAUUAUAAACCAAAGAGAGAAGAAGAGCAUAGAAAAAUAUUUAUUCAAUAGCCCUCUUUCUUGGAAGAACCAGAACAAAGUAACUGAUACAAGUCUGAUACAAAAUAAAAGAAAUUGAUAACUACCCUAUCUCUUAUUUAGAUAACUACUUAGUAACUACUUGAUAGGGAUAACAACAAUAACAAAAAAAUACAGUUUAGAAUAAUUUAACAAGACCAAACCAUACUAGGCAAUCAAAAUUAAGUUCUUAACAAUGUGAAAACUUUUUAAUGAGUUUCUUUAAUCAUUGUGAAAGUGAAAAUAAUUAAACUUCAACAUCUUAUAAAAGAAGCACUUAAUUUUUAUGAUUAUGGGUAGACUCAGCAAAAUGUCGGUUUUGAGUUGAAACUGGCCAUUUCUUGGCCCUUGGGACUUGAACUGAAACCGGCCUAGAUUUAGCUAGGUGAAAAU